GAUCAUGGCUCAGGAUGAACGCUAGCGACAGGCUUAACACAUGCAAGUUGAGGGGCAGCGGGGAGUAGCAAUACUCUGCCGGCGACCGGCGCACGGGUGAGUAACGCGUAUGCAACUUGCCUAUCAGAGGAGAAUAGCUCAUCGAAAGAUGAAUUAAUGCUCCAUGAAACAGGGGUCCCGCAUGGGAAUAUUUGUUAAAGAAUUCAUCGCUGAUAGAUAGGCGG
This 224-nucleotide ribosomal RNA is filed under the name uncultured bacterium. Its description in RNAcentral is "partial 16S ribosomal RNA". It matches the Rfam family "Bacterial small subunit ribosomal RNA", at positions 15 to 232 of the family's 1533-position model. The record is from RNAcentral.